AUGCCCACUGAUUAUAAAAAGACGCGUUAUUCUGAGGAAUACAACCUGCCACCAGUCUUUCUUCUUCCUUUUACUCUCUCUUAGAUCUCCUCUCCAUCUUUCCUCACCUCUCUCUCCUCUCCCCUUUCAACCGGUGGCUGGUCCGCUGACUGCGAUUAUGAGAUAUGAGGGCAU
Molecule: small nucleolar RNA, 174 nt
Organism: Scophthalmus maximus (turbot)
Lineage: Eukaryota; Metazoa; Chordata; Actinopteri; Pleuronectiformes; Scophthalmidae
Gene: SNORD97
Product: small nucleolar RNA, C/D box 97
Source: Ensembl